UUGUAAUUGGAAUGAUAGAAAUUUAAACACUUUUUAAAGUAUCAAUUGGAGGGCAAGUCUGGUGCCAGCAGCCGCGGUAAUUCCAGCUCCAAUAGCGUAUAUUAAAAUUGUUGCAGUUAAAAAGCUCGUAGUUGAAUUUCUGUUAAAAAUAACCGGUCUGCUUUUAAUAAAAGUGGUAUCUUGGUGUGUUUUUAGCAAUAAUGUCCUUUGAAAUGUUUUUUACUUUAUUGUAAUAAAUAAUAUUCAGGAUUUUUACUUUGAGAAAAUUAGAGUGUUUCUAGCAGGCUAACGCUUUGAAUACUGCAGCAUGGAAUAAUAAAAUAGGAUUUUAGUUCUACAUUAUUGGUUUUAAGAACUAAAUUAAUGAUUGAUAGGGACAGUUGGGGGCAUUUGUAUUUAACUGUCAGAGGUGAAAUUCUUAGAUUUGUUAAAGACAAACUACUGCGAAAGCAUUUGCCAAAGAUGUUUUCAUUAAUCAAGAACGAAAGUUAGGGGAUCGAAGACGAUCAGAUACCGUCGUAGUCUUAACUAUAAACUAUGCCGACUAGAGAUUGGAGGUCG
This 561-nucleotide ribosomal RNA is filed under the name Hepatozoon felis. RNAcentral's name for it is "bacterial SSU rRNA". It matches the Rfam family "Eukaryotic small subunit ribosomal RNA", at positions 503 to 1062 of the family's 1831-position model. Lineage: Eukaryota; Apicomplexa; Hepatozoidae. The record is from RNAcentral.